RNAcentral lists this ribosomal RNA (469 nucleotides) under uncultured bacterium. RNAcentral describes it as "partial 16S ribosomal RNA". It matches the Rfam family "Bacterial small subunit ribosomal RNA", at positions 28 to 507 of the family's 1533-position model. The record is from RNAcentral.
GACGAACGCUGGCGGCGUGCUUAACACAUGCAAGUCGAACGGAACGGCCCUGCUUGCAGGGUGCUCGAGUGGCGAACGGGUGAGUAACACGUGGGUGAUCUGCCCCUUACUUUGGGAUAAGCCUGGGAAACUGGGUCUAAUACUGGAUAGGACCAUGCUGUAGGUGGUGUGGUGGAAAGAUUAGUUUCGGUAAGGGAUGAGCUCGCGGCCUAUCAGCUUGUUGGUGGGGUAAUGGCCUACCAAGGCGUCGACGGGUAGCCGGCCUGAGAGGGUGGACGGCCACAUUGGGACUGAGAUACGGCCCAGACUCCUACGGGAGGCAGCAGUGGGGAAUAUUGCACAAUGGGCGCAAGCCUGAUGCAGCGACGCCGCGUGGGGGAUGACGGCCUUCGGGUUGUAAACUCCUUUCAGCCAUGACGAAGCCCUUGUGGUGACGGUAGUGGUAGAAGAAGCACCGGCUAACUACGUG